CUGCUAUCAGUGGAAAAUGGCCUACCAAGUUAGGAAACCUUUGCUGCACCUGCUUUCCCAGGCUGUGCCACUGCAGUUCUAAGACUAACCAGAAUUGGCUACAGUUUCUUCAAGAAAAUACCCCAAUGGAAGAAAAACAGGUGGAGGGAGAAACUGAAUGAAGAAAGGAUGAUUUGAAAUUACCAGAAAGUGGAACAUGGAAAAAACAGAUUAAAACUAGUUUGAGAAUAAAAUCUUAGGUUGUUACACCUUCUGGGAAUUUAUUCUUUAAAUAUUGCUUUUAACUGGAUUCUUUGGUAAAUAGUAAAUGCAUUUUGGCUUUGAU
Molecule: long non-coding RNA, 325 nt
Filed under: Pongo abelii (Sumatran orangutan)
Lineage: Eukaryota; Metazoa; Chordata; Mammalia; Primates; Hominidae
Description: lncRNA (ENSPPYG00000041637.1)
Source: RNAcentral